Mus musculus (house mouse) is the source of this 545-nucleotide long non-coding RNA. RefSeq annotates it as predicted gene, 39654. The record is from RefSeq and is a predicted model, not a curated record. The transcript is spliced from 2 exons. Lineage: Eukaryota; Metazoa; Chordata; Mammalia; Rodentia; Muridae.
UACUGUGGAGCUUCCAAACUGGUGCUGUGGAGCUUGGAAGGCACCUCUGGUGCCUAAGUUCCCGCACCCAUCCCCACUCCUAUAGUGGCCCAGAGGAGAACAGAUGCUGAGAUGGAGUUUCCAGAGCAAGGUGCUUAGGAGAUCAGCAUUCGAGAAGAGAAGGAAAGGGCAGCAGAUAGGGCAGAAGAAGAUGCAAACCUACAUACGAUGCCAGCUCACUAAGGCUUGGCCAACAUGGCUGGAAGAGAUGAAGGGUAUAGUACCUACCAAUACAACCCUGAAGGGGCAUCUCCUUUACUCAGAGAAGCUGGACUAUCUUGGGAAGAGUGUGACUUCAUGUGGAGAUUAGCUGAUGGCUGGAAAAGAUCAACUGUUUACAGUCAGCGUCAUGUGUCCUUCUUUGAAGCAGAAGCUGGACAGAGACUGGAGUCCUCACUAUGGAUAUGAACACUGGGGAGGGCAUAGGGAAACCCAUGGGAGGAAAGGAUUUAUAGGGGUAGCACACACAAAAUCUGUCUUAAUCCAUACUCAUGUAUGAUUUGAAA